Ailuropoda melanoleuca (giant panda) is the source of this 273-nucleotide ribozyme. It matches the Rfam family "RNase MRP". Rfam says of the family: RNase MRP is an enzymatically active ribonucleoprotein with two distinct roles in eukaryotes. In mitochondria it plays a direct role in the initiation of mitochondrial DNA replication. In the nucleus it is involved in precursor rRNA processing, where it cleaves the internal transcribed spacer 1 between 18S and 5.8S rRNAs. NCBI's taxonomy places the organism in Eukaryota, Metazoa, Chordata, Mammalia, Carnivora, Ursidae. The record is from Ensembl.
GUUCGUGCUGAAGGCCUGUUUCCUAGGCUACAGACGAGGGACUGGUUCCUUAUUCGUGCCUAGGGGAAAGUCCCCGGACCUUUGGCAGAAAGUGCCGCGUGCACUUGCACGUUGACUUUCCCUGCUUUGCACAGUAAUGUCCGCCAAGAAGCGAUCCCGAGUGCGCGGGGGAGCUGAGCGGCGUGUUGCAGGGGCGUCAUCCGUCAGCACUUCUAGUUACGCAGGCAGUGCGCAUCUGCGCACCAACCACACGGGGCUCAUUCUCAGCGCGGC